Molecule: small nuclear RNA, 191 nt
Filed under: Dasypus novemcinctus (nine-banded armadillo)
Lineage: Eukaryota; Metazoa; Chordata; Mammalia; Cingulata; Dasypodidae
Description: U2 spliceosomal RNA (ENSDNOG00000035559.1)
Rfam family: U2 spliceosomal RNA
About the family: U2 is a small nuclear RNA (snRNA) component of the spliceosome (involved in pre-mRNA splicing). Complementary binding between U2 snRNA (in an area lying towards the 5' end but 3' to hairpin I) and the branchpoint sequence (BPS) of the intron results the bulging out of an unpaired adenosine, on the BPS, which initiates a nucleophilic attack at the intronic 5' splice site, thus starting the first of two transesterification reactions that mediate splicing.
Source: RNAcentral
AUUGCUUCUCAGCCUUUUGGCUGAGAUCAAGUGUAGUGUCUGUUCUUGUCAGUUUGAUGUCUGGUGCGUCCUCUGUCUGAGGACAAUAUAUUGAACGGAUUUUUGGAGCUGGGAGAUGGAAUGGAGGCUUGCUCUGUCCACCCCACGCUUCAACCUGGUGUUGCUGUAUCUCCAGGAACGGUGCACCAAAA